RNAcentral lists this ribosomal RNA (301 nucleotides) under uncultured bacterium. RNAcentral's name for it is "partial 16S ribosomal RNA". It matches the Rfam family "Bacterial small subunit ribosomal RNA", at positions 509 to 808 of the family's 1533-position model. The record is from RNAcentral.
CAGUAGCCGCGGUAAUACGUAGGUCCCGAGCGUUGUCCGGAUUUAUUGGGCGUAAAGCGAGCGCAGGCGAUUAGAUAAGUCUGAAGUUAAAGGCUGUGGCUUUACUAUAGUACGCUUUGGAAACUGUUUAACUUGAGUGCAGAAGGGGAGAGUGGAAUUCCAUGUGUAGCGGUGAAAUGCGUAGAGAUGUGGAGGAACACCAGUGGCGAAGGCGACUCUCUGGUCUGUAACUGACGCUGAGGAGCGAAAGCGUGGGGAGCGAACAGGAUUAGAUACCCCCGUAGUCCCUGUCUCUUAUACA